UCAGCCAGCUUACAACUUGACCCUCUCACCUGAUUUCUACCAAACUUUCCUCAGCUGAUUUCUUUCUGCGGAAAGGUUGGUAGAAAUCAGGUGAGAGGGUCAGGCCAUAAGCUGGCUAAC
Nomascus leucogenys (northern white-cheeked gibbon) is the source of this 120-nucleotide microRNA precursor. Lineage: Eukaryota; Metazoa; Chordata; Mammalia; Primates; Hylobatidae. The record is from Ensembl.